AAAGAUUGCACAACAUUAGCAGAGUUUUUACCACCCAAACAUGAGUAUGUAUUAGCAGUAAGAAUGACUUCUAUUCAGUGCAAGCUUUACCAGUACUAUUUGGAUCACUUCACAGGAACAGGAAGUACUAGAGAAGGAGGAAGAGGAAAAGGAGGAACAAAACUCUUCCAGGAUUUUCAAAUAUUAAGCAGAAUUUGGACUCAUCCAUGGUGCUUACAGCUGGACUAUA
Non-coding RNA from Phascolarctos cinereus (koala), 229 nucleotides. The record is from RefSeq and is a predicted model, not a curated record. NCBI's taxonomy places the organism in Eukaryota, Metazoa, Chordata, Mammalia, Diprotodontia, Phascolarctidae.